AUUGAACGCUGGCGGCAGGCUUAACACAUGCAAGUCGAACGAGUGGCGGACGGGAGAGUAAUGCUUGGGAAUCGAGCUUAUGGAGGGGGAUACCUACGGGAAACUGUAGCUAAUACCGCGUACCAUAGGAUGAGCCCAAGUGGGAUUAGGUAGUUGGUGAGGUAAAGGCUCACCAAGCCGACGAUCUCUAGCUGGUCUGAGAGGAUGACCAGCGAAACUGGUACUUAGACACGGCCCAGACUCCUACGGGAGGCAGCAGUGGGGAAUAUUGCGAAAUGGGGGCAACCUGAAACAGCCAAGCCGCGUGAAGUAAGAAGGCCUUCGGGGUGUAAAGUUCUUUCGGUAGCGAGGCGUUAACUACAGAAGAAGCACCGGCUAACUCCGUGCCAGCAGCCGCGGUAAUUC
RNAcentral lists this ribosomal RNA (405 nucleotides) under uncultured bacterium. Its description in RNAcentral is "partial 16S ribosomal RNA". It matches the Rfam family "Bacterial small subunit ribosomal RNA", at positions 30 to 526 of the family's 1533-position model. The record is from RNAcentral.